AUUGAACGCUGGCGGCCGGACUAACACAUGCAAGUCGAACGAGUGGCGGACGGGUGCGUAAUGUCUGGGACACUGCCUGAGGGAGGGGGAUAACUACUGGAAACGGUCGCUAAUACCGCAUAACAUCAGAUGUGGCCAGAUGGGAUUAGCUAGUGGGUGGGGGAACGGCUCACCAAGGCGACGAUCCCUAGCUGGUCUGAGAGGAUGACCGGCCACACUGUAACUGAGACGCGGUCCGGACGCCUACGAGAGUCAGAAGUGGGGAAUAUUGCACAAUGGGCGAAAGCCUGAGGCAGCCAUGCCGCGUGUAUGAAGAAGGCCUUCGGGUUGUAAAGUACUUUCAGCGGGGAGGCGUUACCCGCAGAAUAAGCACCGGCUAACUCCGUGCCAGCAGCCGCGGUAAUAC
This 406-nucleotide ribosomal RNA is filed under the name uncultured bacterium. RNAcentral's name for it is "partial 16S ribosomal RNA". It matches the Rfam family "Bacterial small subunit ribosomal RNA", at positions 30 to 526 of the family's 1533-position model. The record is from RNAcentral.